This 437-nucleotide long non-coding RNA is filed under the name Anser brachyrhynchus (Pink-footed goose). RNAcentral's name for it is "lncRNA (ENSABRG00000016694.1)". The record is from RNAcentral. Lineage: Eukaryota; Metazoa; Chordata; Aves; Anseriformes; Anatidae.
AAAGCUUUGCAAUCCUAUAAAAAUGCCUGUUUGUUGUGUUUUCUGAGACACGGGAAGAUUGAUACUUGGCAAGAUGAUGGACUUCAAAAAUAACUUUGGAUUCUCUGACCUGCUUCACUAAUGCACGCUGCAGUAAAACCAGGGUGGGUGAGAAGUGUGUCAGAUGAAUGUCUUGGAGACGUUUGAAGUCCAGCUGUUAGAUGUGCUUCCAAAAUUCACUGGAGGAGCCCUCCCCACGUCCAAACAGGGAUCCAAAGAGAGGAGCGACAGAGUUUGAAUGUUGCUUUCCCCUUUCUGGAUGAUUAUCUGUCCUCUAUUGUAAAGAGAUGAAGACAAGCAGCAUUCUGAGCAACAUUCAGAGGCGUUUCUGACUAAGCUUGGUUAGGUAAGUAAAUAAUAGACGUGGCCUUCUUUUGCCCUGAGUUUUACCAGAGUUU